GUCAUUUGUACCCUCAAGCUCUGCUUGGUGUUGGGUGUUUGUUCCGCCGUGCGCGUGAACUCGCCUCAAAUCAAUUGGCAGCCGGCAGUCUGGUGUUUGAGCGCAGCACAUUUUGCGCUCUUCACUAUACUGCGGCGUCCAUGAAGCCUAUAUUUUAUGCGCUUGACCUCGGAUCAGGUAGGGAUACCCGCUGAACUUAA
Molecule: unclassified non-coding RNA, 200 nt
Filed under: soil metagenome
Description: partial contains internal transcribed spacer 2 and large subunit ribosomal RNA
Source: RNAcentral